UACGUAGGGUGCGAGCGUUAAUCGGAAUUACUGGGCGUAAAGCGUGCGCAGGCGGCUAUGUAAGACAGGGGUGAAAUCCCCGGGCUUAACCUGGGAACUGCAUUUGUGACUGCAUAGCUAGAGUACGGUAGAGGGGGAUGGAAUUCCGCGUGUAGCAGUGAAAUGCGUAGAUAUGCGGAGGAACACCGAUGGCGAAGGCAAUCCCCUGGACCUGUACUGACGCUCAUGCACGAAAGCGUGGGGAGCAAACAGG
RNAcentral lists this ribosomal RNA (253 nucleotides) under uncultured bacterium. RNAcentral's name for it is "partial 16S ribosomal RNA". It matches the Rfam family "Bacterial small subunit ribosomal RNA", at positions 524 to 776 of the family's 1533-position model. The record is from RNAcentral.